ACAGAGGGUGCAAGCGUUGUUCGGAAUUAUUGGGCGUAAAGCGCGUGUAGGCGGCUUUGCAAGUCGGGUGUGAAAUCCCUCAGCUUAACUGAGGAAGUGCGCCCGAAACUGCCGAGCUUGAAUACCGGAGAGGAUGGCGGAAUUCCCCAAGUAGAGGUGAAAUUCGUAGAUAUGGGGAGGAACACCGGUGGCGAAGGCGGCCAUCUGGACGGCUAUUGACGCUGAGACGCGAAAGCAUGGGGAGCAAACAGGA
This 253-nucleotide ribosomal RNA is filed under the name uncultured prokaryote. Its description in RNAcentral is "partial 16S ribosomal RNA". It matches the Rfam family "Bacterial small subunit ribosomal RNA", at positions 525 to 777 of the family's 1533-position model. The record is from RNAcentral.